Molecule: unclassified non-coding RNA, 5343 nt
Filed under: Helicoverpa zea (corn earworm)
Lineage: Eukaryota; Metazoa; Arthropoda; Insecta; Lepidoptera; Noctuidae
Description: phosphatidylinositol 3-kinase regulatory subunit gamma, transcript variant X1
Source: RNAcentral
AUCUCUUAGACUUUUUUUUAGUUUUAUGGCGAUUUAGAUAAGAUAGAUGGCGGACGGGUUUGGUGCUAGUGUUUGACUUGAAAAAAAAGGAAGUGAGCGAUGUUACAUUGAGAAAUCUAUAAAACAUGGAUUUAACUUAUCCCAUUUGCAGAAUAAAAAUGAUAUGAUGUCCUUGUACGUGAACCCAUACACAAAUUAAGGAAGUAUUAGUGCCAUAGCAACAAUCAUCAUACUCUUGCCCAUUUCCUUUGUGAUCUAGAUACCUCUUUUUCGGAGUGUAGUUCAAGAUUUGCCGUGUUUUAACUGGUUGUGUAUAUAUAAACUCAGUAAACUAGUGUUACUUAUCGUGUAAAAUGAUUUAAAAGUGAAAUAAUUGGUUAGUUUUAUGGUAACCUCGAACGCGGAAGUUUUGAGAGCUAGCCGCAUAUGAAGCAGAAUAUCAUCGGCAGAUGUGUUAGCUAGUGUUGACUCUACUACAGUUAUUGAAGAACAAAUAUCAAAUAUCAUUAUGCAUGAACUUUGAGUACUGAUGAUUAAAUAAUGGUUGAAAUAGGCGCCCCUCAAAAGUCCGCCGAAGAGAGUUUGGAGAAUGCCGAUUGGUAUUGGGGUGAUAUCACUCGAGAUGAGGCUAUUGAGAAACUGCGGGACACCUGUGAUGGCACCUUCUUGGUGCGCAACGCAUCUAACAAAGAUAGUGGUUAUACUCUGACAUUGAGAAAGGGGGGUAUGAACAAACUUAUCAAAAUCUACAACCAUGAGGGGCGGUACGGGUUCUGUGAGCCAUUUGACUUCAAGUCAGUGGUGGAUCUUGUUAGGUUCUACAGUGAAUUUUCACUGGCUCAUUGCAAUAGCAGCCUUGACAUCAAGCUUAUGUACCCAUUGUCCAGAAAAAGGGACAAUGAUGGUGGAGAAAAUAUGAGUAAUGAUACCCUAGAAACUAAAUUUAAGGAAAUCCACAAAAAAUAUGUAUUGAAAACAAAAGACUUUGAAGUUCGCUCUUACAAAUAUACAAGGUUAAGGGAAGAAGUAAAUAUGAAGAAGCAAGCAUUAGACGCCUUCACAGAAACUGUCAAAAUCUGUGAAGAACAUUUAAAGUUGCAAGAAAAGAUGCAGGCUGAAGCACAGCCACAUGAGAAAAAUUCUGUGUUAGAAAACAAUAGAAAUCUAAUUUCAAGAGUUCAAAACCUAAAGCAAGCUCAGAUAGCCUUAAAUGAUAUUUUGAGAAAUACAGUCACUGCACAAUUGCUUCUUGAGAGAGAGAUAGCCAAACUGAAGUCUGAUGUUACAGAUCUCUAUAAAAUCAAAGACCGCUACAAAGUGUGGCUACAAGGACGAGGUAAAACAGACGAGUACCUGCAUUUAUUAGAAGAUGACAAUAUACACAAGCUUGAAGAGUUGUACGCACACAGAGAAUCAAUCAGUUGGAACGUCAACUGUACUAGAGAGACAGCUGAGAAACUCCUCACAGGGAAACCACAAGGAACAUUUUUAAUUCGGCCUAACUCGACUGGACAAUUAGCCUUAUCAAUUUGUUGUAACAACAUGGUCUACCACUGUAUUAUCUUUACAACUGAACGAGGUUAUGGAUUUGCUGAACCCUAUAAUGUUUAUGAAACUUUGAAUGAGCUUGUCCUACAUUAUGCUGUUAAUUCAUUAGAAGAACAUAACGAACAAUUAAAAACUGAAUUGAAGUAUCCAGUAAACGCACAUCUUGUGAAGAAACCUGAGAAAAAACAAUGAAAUGGCCAAUGCAAACAGAAAAUGUAUUUGCCAGAAAUUGUCUGCUAGUUCAGACAAAGGUCAUAUGACGACUUGGAGACCUACUAAAGGAAACUGAAAUGUUAAUUACCUUCUUGUGACCUUCAUGUAAUGAUUUACUAAUAAGGAUUUAAAGAAUCACAAACUUAUCAACUAAUGAUUCAUAAAAUCUUCCAAAGUCAAAGGACGACUAUGAAUUACUCUUGAUUGUUUCACUAAAUGUACUGUGAGGGAACAUAAUAAUACGAGAAGAAAGUAUUCAUGUACAGGAAUGUAAUGUAAGUUGAUAUUUCCGUGUUUAUAGCUUUAGAGAGUCGUUAUAAUAAUGAUCAAACAAUUAUUGUACAAAUGCUUUGGUACCUAUGUACAAUGUGGUACUUACCAUAAUUAUUUUAGAUUUGUGCACAAUAACUUCAAUUUGCUUUCUAUUGAUUUGGUUUUAUUUUUAUUGUGAUAAUAUUGUGAUAAAACCAAAAUCAGUUUUGAAAUACCAGUUUUAUUGUUUUAUGAACAUUGAAAAUGAUUCUCAGGAGCUUUUAAGAGUUUAGGAUACUCUGUACACAUAUUUUUAUAUUUGUUGUAUUUUACAAACUAAAGUGUUCUUCCUUAUUAAUAAUUGAUGUUAUUAAAUUGAUUGGGGCCUUUACGGAUCGGCAGCAUUGGAGGAAGGAUUAUAAAUAACAGCUGAUUCGAAAUUGGAGACUGUUGAGAACAAAAUUACUUUGAAAUGUGUUAGUAAGCUCUCAGUUCGAUUGAUAUUGAGUCUGCGUCCAUAGACAUGUGUUAUACAGUCGACUUUGCAACGACAAGAUUUCACAUAUUGAAAAUAAAUUACUAUCUUUAAUGGCCUAUAAAUAUAUUAUCACUUUGCUUUAAUCUAUGAAUGCAGACUCAAUGCAUGCAAAGUUCUCUUAGAGAUAUGUAUGUGAUAGUAAUGAUUAGCGUUUUAGAGUUCUGAUAUUUGUGUAUAUUAUGUGAUUGAUUUUUGUUACAUUGUUUUUAAUGGGUUAUUGUGAUGCGAGGUUAAAAUUAUUCCAUAUCAUUGAUCAUUGAUAUAUCCAUAUUUAUUAUCUUUCCUUACACAUACUGUGUCUGCUUGGGGAUUGUAUAAAGUCCGCCAAAUAAUAAAUUGCUAUAUAAGUCGAGAGUUGUUUGGAAUGCCCAAACAUCGCAAUUUUUUCAAAAUAAAGUCUCCAGAAAAGUUUCAAAUAGCAAGAUUACUGUCUAUAAGAACCUGUUUUGGUAAUGCGCAAUAUUGUAAUGAUAUUGAAAUUAUUUCCUAUAUUGAGUGUAGUACUCAUUGUGGUAAUAAUUUAAAUAGUUUUACAUUUUCACUAUUAACAGUAAACCGAUUUUAUCUCUGGUAAUGAUAAAUAGAUCUGAUCACUGUUUUCCUUGUAACUCGACAAAUAUGAAGAUAAUCCUGAGUUUGAUGUUGCGUGUAUUAAAGCAGAUACUUAUACAUUUAUAUGUAUAACCAGUGCAUGAGUGAUAAGUUAAUGUUUACUUGGCGCAAAUCUAUGAAAUGUUUUACUAAAACCGGUAUCGAGAAUUUAUCUCUACUGUUUUAUCAGCGGUAGUGAUUCCAGUAAAAACAUUGAUGGUAUGCUUCGCCACAGUGGAUGUCGUUUAUGAUUUCAGUGCGUUUCAGUACUGCAGUUUACAUUGAAGUGUGUUAAUUCAUGUGUAUUAGUGUGCGAGUCUCGUCAAUUAAAUGUUUUUUCACUUUAUUUUCUAUAUGUAACAAUAUGUAAGAAAAGAUGAUAUGAUUGUAUUGCUAGUAGAUAGAUUGUAAGUAGGACUAACCAAUUCGUAAAAUGUUAUAUUUAUAUUAUAUAAUUUUGUUUCAUUCAAAACUCCUAAUGUUUUGUUAUCUGAACAAUUUUCCAUAACAUAAUUAUGUCUAUGUUUGGCAAAAAUUUUACUGUAGUUGUAAUCUCGUAUUUUAUGGUAUAAUUUUCAUUAUAAUUAAUAUUAUCAGGAAAAAACUGAACUGCGACAGUAAACAAGACAUGGCAUAAAAACAGUUUAUUUAGCCAAACUUGGCUUUUUGAUGAUGAGAAUGAAAGGGAUAGUAAAACGAUUGACAUCCUCACGAACACUUCCUUAUCGCCUACUACUGUGAUAGACAUUUCAAUGUUCUAAAAUACCUAUAUUAUGGCUAUUCCAGAGACAAUUUAAUAACUAUCUCCAAUAAAUUGUCGAUUUGUGAAGUUUUAUGAAACAUAGUAAGCUAUCCUAAUUUGGUUUGUGCAGUCCAAAAGUACCAUGUCAAAAUUCUAAGCACCAACGAAAACAUGCUUCAUUAUUACGACGAAUAUGUAGUUUAGAUACGAAAAUCUUUGAAUGAAUAAUAUCAUUUAGUCAACAGUAAAAGCUCGUUAUUGAAUUACUACUUUUGCUGUUGGCUGUACUAUAAUUUUUGGCCUACUACGAAUUCUAAGGCUAUUUCGGUAUCGUUCGUGUUUAUAAAUAUUUUUGUCGGGUAUAGUAUUGUAACUUACUGAAAUAGUGAUAAAUAUUGAAUCGACAGUACCUAUUAAUCCACUGAUCAGUCGAAUGUGUAUUUCUAUUUGAGGAGAUCGUCUAGAGUUGGCCUCCGAAUUUUGUAAAAAUGUAUUCACCUGCUUUUGAAUUUAAAUCAGUUAUUUAAUCAUUUAAUCUUGUACCCUUUCGCAUCCACUACAAAACGUGCCAGAAACAGUUGCAAUAGAUAACUAUUUACACUGAUUCUGUUUAUAUACAGUAAGAAAUUUCAUUACUAUUAGGAUUGAAGAUAUCCUAUCAAAAAAUAUAAUUAAAUUAUUUAAUUCGAAUUCAAUUAUGUACCGUUGAUUUCACGUAGUCAAUGUAAUCAUCGUUAACAAAUUCGAUAACAGUCUCUAAAACAUGUGCAAUAGUAAUGAAAGCUAAGAUGAAAAAAUAUUUAUAAAAUUGUGUACCUUACCUAAUUAAUUUUACUUCAUCAAUGAAAUGAAAAAUCUUAAGUAGCACCCUAGAAUACGUUCUAGUUCUAGCAUUUAGAUUAUGUCCAAAAUUAUAUUUCAUAGUUUCUUAUGUAAAAUAUCAACAAAUAUAAAAAAAUAAACGAAUUUUUAAGUAUUGGAAUAACUAAACUUUGGAGGUGAAAGGGUUGCGACUAUUAAUUAUACAUUUUAUUUCCACUGCACAUAAAGCUUUAAAAUGAAUAACGCCCGCUGCAGAAUAAUUAGGUGAAUCAAUUUGCCAUCCAGGAUUCUACAUUUUGGAACUGUAUAUUGAAAACUGUUUUUUACAAAAUUAAUAAUAUAAUUUAGAUUUUACAUACAUAAUAUAUACCUAUUUACUUAUAAGUUUAAAGAUUAUAUAAUUGCAAUUUUAUGUAAAACUAAAUAUCAUUAAAUGAUCUCAAGAGUGAAUAUAAACUUAAGGUAUAAUUCAAAUGUUUGUUUGAUAGUUUUUUAGACUUCAUAAUAAUGUAUAACUAAAGUCAAUAGCAGCCAAAUUGGAAAACUUACAUAAAAUUAGUGAACACUCAGUCGCCAUUUUAUAAGUGUAAUAGUAGAACGUUUUAAUAAGUGUUAAUAAACAAACUAUCAAUGAAAA